UACGUAGGGGGCAAGCGUUAUCCGGAUUUACUGGGUGUAAAGGGAGCGUAGACGGUGAGACAAGUCUGAAGUGAAAGCCCGGGGCUCAACCCCGGGACUGCUUUGGAAACUGCCUGACUGGAGUGCUGGAGAGGCAAGCGGAAUUCCUAGUGUAGCGGUGAAAUGCGUAGAUAUUAGGAAGAACACCAGUGGCGAAGGCGGCUUGCUGGACAGUAACUGACACUGAGGCUCAAAAGCGUGGGGAGCAAACAGG
Molecule: ribosomal RNA, 253 nt
Filed under: uncultured bacterium
Lineage: Bacteria
Description: partial 16S ribosomal RNA
Rfam family: Bacterial small subunit ribosomal RNA
Source: RNAcentral